UUCAGGAUUGGUGCUGAAUAACAUCAAUAAGAGAUGAGCCCUAUCUGCUUUUCUGUUGACUGUUAGUCCAAUGCAGUGCACGACUUUCACCGAGGUUUAGUCUGCCAGCCAAGGAAGUAGGUGCUGAAGCCAAACCCUGGAGGUGAACUGCACCUCUUUACAGAAAGGUGCAGAGCAAAAUGAAGC
Nothoprocta perdicaria is the source of this 186-nucleotide long non-coding RNA. RefSeq lists it as uncharacterized. The transcript has 2 exons. The record is from RefSeq and is a predicted model, not a curated record. NCBI's taxonomy places the organism in Eukaryota, Metazoa, Chordata, Aves, Tinamiformes, Tinamidae.